RNAcentral lists this unclassified non-coding RNA (1615 nucleotides) under uncultured fungus. Its description in RNAcentral is "sequence contains 18S rRNA gene, ITS1, 5.8S rRNA gene, ITS2, 28S rRNA gene". The stretch from base 625 to 1615 matches the Rfam family "Eukaryotic large subunit ribosomal RNA", at positions 1 to 961 of the family's 3401-position model. Lineage: Eukaryota; Fungi. The record is from RNAcentral.
GGAAGGAUCAUUAUAUGAACCAUUUUUUGCAGGUUGUUUUCUUACUCAUUAUUUGGGUUAAAACCAAUCUGUAAAUUGACACACCCUGUUUAGAAGAGCAGCUUCAGUUAAAGUCAUUUUUUGACUCCUCUGUUAAACUUUCUUGUGCAUGCUUUGCACAGCAGGUCUCUGAUGGCCUGGGAUGGUGAUUUGUUACAUUUGUGAAUAUUUAUUUAAAACCUUUGACAAUGGAUCUCUUGGUUCUGGCAUCGAUGAAGAACACAGUGAAAUGUGAUAGGUGAUGUGAAUUGCAGAAUCCAGUGAAUCAUUGAAUAUUUGAACGCAUAUUGUGCACCUCCCUGCAUCUUGGUGUAGGGUGGGCACACCUGUCUGAGUGUUGGCAAAGAACUAUCAAGUUUUUUUAUACUUGGUGUUGGGGUUUAAUAUACAACCAUGUCCCAUAACAUUGUGGGAGAUGCAUGUACAUAUUACCCUGAAAUGGAUGAAAAUCUGUGGCACAAGCAGUUGGAGAUGGUCUUUUGGAUCUUCAUCCUACUCUCCCCACCAUUUACUGUCAUGGUUACAGUGUACAAGUUAAGCAUGUGCAGUUAGUUGGUGUUGGGGCCCAUCUGUUUUAUUUAUCUUCAACCUCAGAUCAGGUGGGAUUACCCACUGAACUUAAGCAUAUCAAUAAGUGGAGGAAAAGAAACCAACAGGGAUUGCCUCAGUAACGGCGAGUGAAGUGGCAUUAGCCCAAAUUUGAAAUCCUGUAGUGUUAUUGAACCUGCAGGAGUUGUAAUUUGCAGAGGAUGCUUUGGUUGCCAUGCCUGUCUCAUGUUCCUUGGAACAGGAUGUCACAGAGGGUGAGAACCCCGUGGGGAUGGGUUGUAGUGACUGUAUGAAGCACCUUCAAUGAGUCGGGUUGUUUGGGAAUGCAGCUCCAAGUAGGAGGUAAACCCCUUCCAAGGCUAAAUAUUGGCCAGAGACUGAUAGUGAACAAGUAGAGUGAUUGAAAGAUGAAAUAGUACUUUGGAAAGAGAGUUAAACAGUGUGUGAAAUUGUCAAUGGGGAAGCACUUGUGGUCAGACUUGCAUGUGAGUGCAAGGUUGGGCUAAAAAGCUGAACCUGUUUCACUUGCAUAUACAAGCCAGCAUCAGUUUUUGGGAGUGGGAGAAAUGUGCUAGGGGAUGUUGCUGUGCCUGUCUUGCAUGGGCAUGAUGAUAUUGUUGCCUGGUGCACCAUGCCACCUCCUGAGACUGAGGAAUGUGCCCAUAAUGAAUGGGUAUGGAUGCUGGGACAAUGGCUAUGAGUGGCCCGUCUUGAAACACGGACCAAGGAGUCCAACAGCUAUGCGAGUGUCUAGGUGUCAAGCCUGCAUGCGUAAUGAAAGUGAAAGGAGGCAGGAACCCUUUGUGCUUUGCGGGGGGGGCACUGUCAACCGAUCUGGAAACUUGUUGGAUGGAUUUGAGUGAGAGCAUGGCUGCUGGGACCCGAAAGAUGGUGAACUAUGCCUGUGUAGGCUGAAGUCAGAGGAAACUCUGAUGGAGGGCCGCAGCGGUUCUGACGUGCAAAUCGAUCGUCAAAUGUGGGUAUAGGGGCGAAAGACCAAUCGAACCAUCUAGUAGCUGGUUCACAC